GGUUUGUGGCUCAGUGGUAGAGUGCUCACCUAGCAUGUGAGAGGCACUGGGUUCAAGUCUCAGCACCA
RNAcentral lists this transfer RNA (68 nucleotides) under Marmota monax (woodchuck). RNAcentral's name for it is "tRNA.Ala". The stretch from base 5 to 65 matches the Rfam family "tRNA", at positions 6 to 65 of the family's 71-position model. From Rfam's summary of the family: Transfer RNA (tRNA) molecules are approximately 80 nucleotides in length. Their secondary structure includes four short double-helical elements and three loops (D, anti-codon, and T loops). Lineage: Eukaryota; Metazoa; Chordata; Mammalia; Rodentia; Sciuridae. The record is from RNAcentral.